RNAcentral lists this ribosomal RNA (253 nucleotides) under uncultured bacterium. RNAcentral describes it as "partial 16S ribosomal RNA". It matches the Rfam family "Bacterial small subunit ribosomal RNA", at positions 524 to 776 of the family's 1533-position model. The record is from RNAcentral.
UACGUAGGGUGCGAGCGUUAAUCGGAAUUACUGGGCGUAAAGCGUGCGCAGGCGGUUUUGUAAGUCAGAUGUGAAAUCCCCGGGCUCAACCUGGGAACUGCAUUUGGGACUGCAAGGCUUGAGUACGGCAGAGGGGGGUAGAAUUCCUGGUGUAGCAGUGAAAUGCGUAGAUAUCAGGAGGAAUACCGAUGGCGAAGGCAGCUCGCUGGGACGGUACUGACGCUGAGACGCGAAAGCGUGGGGAGCAAACAGG